This 1358-nucleotide ribosomal RNA is filed under the name metagenome. RNAcentral's name for it is "bacterial LSU rRNA". It matches the Rfam family "Bacterial large subunit ribosomal RNA", at positions 1579 to 2925 of the family's 2925-position model. The record is from RNAcentral.
CAUGGCCCGAUACCCGGUGAUCCCGGCUGCCGAGAAAAGCUUCGGCGUCAGGCUCAAAGCCGCCCGUACCCCAAACCGACACUGGUGGUCAGGUAGAGAAUACCAAAGCGAUCGAGCGAAUCCUGGUCAAGGAACUCGGCAAAUCACUCCCGUUCCUUCGGUUUAAGGGAGACCCCCGAUGGUGAACACACUUGCUGUGGGAGCUUUUGGGGGUGGCACAGACCAGGGGGUAGCGACUGUUUACCAAAAACACAGGUGCAUGCGAAGGCGCAAGCCGCUGUAUAUGCACUGACGCCUGCCCGGUGCCGGAAGGUUAAGAGGAUCCGUCAGCCUUCGAGUGAAGCGGUGAAUUCAAGCCCCGGUAAACGGCGGUGGUAACGAUAACCAUCCUAAGGUAGCGAAAUUCCUUGUCGGGUAAGUUCCGACCUGCACGAAUGGCGUAACGACUUCCCCACUGUCUCGACCAGGAGCUCGGCGAAAUUGCAGUACGAGUAAAGAUGCUCGUUAAGCGCAGAAGGACGAAAAGACCCCGGGACCUUUACUAUACCUUGGUAUUGGCAUUCGGUGUGGAUUGUGUAGCAUAGGCGGGAGGCCGAGAGGCGCGGUCGCCAGAUCGCGCGGAGCCGUAAGGUGAAAUACCGCUCUGUUCGCAUUGGAUGUCUAACCUCGAACAGUCAUCCUGUUCAGGGACAGUGCCUGGCGGGUAGUUUAACUGGGGCGGUUGCCUCCCAAAGAGUAACGGAGGCGCCCAAAGGUCCGCUCAGCCCGGUUGGCAAUCGGGUGGCGAGUGCAAGUGCACAAGCGGGCUUGACUGCGAGGACGACGGUCCGAGCAGGGACGAAAGUCGGGACUAGUGAUCCGGUGCCGGUGUACGGACGCGGCAUCGCUCAACGGAUAAAAGGUACCCCGGGGAUAACAGGCUGAUCAUUCCCAAGAGUCCAUAUCGACGGGAUGGUUUGGCACCUCGAUGUCGGCUCGUCGCAUCCUGGGGCUGGAGCAGGUCCCAAGGGUUCGGCUGUUCGCCGAUUAAAGCGGCACGCGAGCUGGGUUCAGAACGUCGUGAGACAGUUUGGUCUCUAUCCUCUGCGCUCGUUGGAAUGCUGAGGAGGCCUGCCCAUAGUACGAGAGGACCUGGGUGGACGAACCUCUGGUAUGCCGGUCGUCACGCCAGUGGCACGGCCGGUUGGCUACGUUCGGAAGGAUAACCGCUGAAAGCAUCUAAGCGGGAAGCCUGCUCCAAGAUAAGCAUUCCGUGGAACCUUCGAGUUCCUGUAGUCCCCAUGCAGAACACGUGGUUGAUAGCCGGACGUGGAAGCCCCGCGAGGGGUGGAGCCGACCGGUACUAACGGACGAAAGCC